Long non-coding RNA from Suricata suricatta (meerkat), 1141 nucleotides. RefSeq lists it as uncharacterized. The transcript has 8 exons. The record is from RefSeq and is a predicted model, not a curated record. NCBI's taxonomy places the organism in Eukaryota, Metazoa, Chordata, Mammalia, Carnivora, Herpestidae.
CAAACACACCGCACCUGUUCUCUUGGCUCUCCUGAGGGGACACCUUAGAUGCCAAGGAAGAGUAAAUUGUACAUCACAGUGAGGGGCAUAUAUGGUAUAGGGAUGGUGUUGGCUGAUCUUGAAGAGAAUUCAGCCUUGUAUGGAUGUGUCAGCUGACAUGCUAGGAGUCGCAAAGCAAUUUGGCCUAGCCGCAGUGCAAGCGUCCAGUAGCCAGUGUGGCUGUGAACUAGCAGUCUGGACUGUGCGGCUUUGGUGAACACGACCAGACAGUAUUCCGAAGCGGUUGCACCAGGUUCACCUUCCUGACAGCAGUGUUAUGAGAGCUCUAGAGGCGAAGAAAUCAGAGAUCGAGGCUCUAGUAGACUGGUGUCUGGUGAGGACGGCUUCCUUCCCCCACAGCCUCAUGAGAGAGAGCAAGCCAGUCUCUCCAUCUUCCUUCUUAUUGCAGACCUGCUAGUGGGAAUGAAGUAAAGAGUCUUAAGUCCACUUGAGUCCAACUUGUAAAAGAGCAGAAGUGGCCCUGGAGACAAAGGCGGCAGCAACAGUGAUGGGUGACAAGCCUCCAAGGCAAAGGCUGCCAGGCAGGAGAAUCCUGGAGGACUCAUUUGUGAAAUCGGCCCCCCUGCUUCUGAAUUUCCAGGGAGUCGGCAGGAUGUGGCAGAAAGAGCAUGCCCUUUGAAGCUGGCGAACUUGAGUUCACCUCCAUGCUGGGGAAGGAGGCUGUCGGCUGCUCAGGACAAUCAAUCUGACAUACUUCUCUACUUCUACACGGAGACUAAAACACCAUUUAAGUCUUAUUCCAACAUUUCUUGAAUCAUCUGGUGUGGGAGUUCGGAGGCUGAAACCUAUAGAGAAAGCAUGUAGACGCUGGAAGAAAACAUUCCCUUGGACCUACUAACUGGACCAACUCUCCAGCAGCCUAUGAAUGUUAUCAAACUGCUUUCCCCACUGGGUUCAUGCCCAGUAAAAUAAAUGAAGUCAUAUUUUUGCCUGGCAUAAAUUAUUAAGUUGAUGUGUGCACGAUUGCUUUAAAUCAAGGGUGCCUUAGCAUAUCCCUGCCACUCAGUGUCCGACCUGCAGCAUUUUUAUGUACAUUUGGUCUCAGGUGCAUUUGCCUCAUUCAUUCAUGGGAACUCAGUAU